This 413-nucleotide long non-coding RNA is filed under the name Fukomys damarensis (Damara mole-rat). Its description in RNAcentral is "lncRNA (ENSFDAG00000023788.1)". Lineage: Eukaryota; Metazoa; Chordata; Mammalia; Rodentia; Bathyergidae. The record is from RNAcentral.
UGUAUUUUCCCAUCUCUUAUUGGGUUUUUAUCUCAAAAUUCCUCUAUACUGCUGUCAGUAUUCUGUCCAUCCACUUGUCCUUAUUUACCAAUUCUUGCUUCAGAGUGAAAGUUUAGACUCAGUAUUCCACGUGGAAUUUAAUCUUCUUUAUUGUCUUUCUCGUGGUCUCUGGAAGGAGCUGAGGCAACACCCAUCUUCAGGUCAGCAUCUUGAACUGCAACUCCUUCCCCAUACUAACUCCUGGUUACUACAGUGAGUCUCCAGUUUAGGAAUGAGUUCCAUUCUGGGAGUUGGAUUCAUUGUUACCUUAAAAUGGUGGCACAGUUCAGUACUGGCAUCUAGGGGACCGCAUGGAGUGGACAGGGUGAGAGUUACUAACUGGAGAAGGGAGGGUAGGUGGGAGAUGCUGGAGU